RNAcentral lists this ribosomal RNA (269 nucleotides) under Enterobacter kobei. Its description in RNAcentral is "partial 23S ribosomal RNA". It matches the Rfam family "Bacterial large subunit ribosomal RNA", at positions 1241 to 1513 of the family's 2925-position model. The record is from RNAcentral. Lineage: Bacteria; Pseudomonadati; Pseudomonadota; Gammaproteobacteria; Enterobacterales; Enterobacteriaceae.
CUGUAAGCCGUUGAAGGUGGCCUGUGAGGGUUGCUGGAGGUAUCAGAAGUGCGAAUGCUGACAUAAGUAACGAUAAAGCGGGUGAAAAGCCCGCUCGCCGGAAGACCAAGGGUUCCUGUCCAACGUUAAUCGGGGCAGGGUGAGUCGACCCCUAAGGCGAGGCCGAAAGGCGUAGUCGAUGGGAAACAGGUUAAUAUUCCUGUACUUGGUGUUACUGCGAAGGGGGGACGGAGAAGGCUAUGUUAGCCGGGCGACGGUUGUCCCGGUUU